GAGUUUGUCGUACAAUUUGAGACCACUGCAGCAAUCAAGCAGGGAUUGUGUACCAUCCAGAAAUGGAUGUCUGAGGAAGGCAUUGCAUGGAAUCCGUAAUUUUUUAUGACAGAUUUUUCAGAACGUGAAAUCAAUGCCAUCGAACAGAUCUUUCCAGCAUGCACUGUCUUUCUCUGUGAUUUUCACAGAGAACAAGCAUGGACACGAUGGGUCCGGAAGAUAGAAAAUGGUGUUGCUUCGUGCAAGUAGAAAGUGCUCUCCAUGCUGAGAAGAUGUGCCCAUGCCACUGAGCCAUCAGAGUACAAUGCUGCAUUGGAAUACCUCAAGGCUUCUAAAGAAUGGCAGGAAAACCCAAAACUACAGAAGUGGUUCACCAAACAGUGGAUUCCACAUUCUAAGCGCUGGGUAUGGGGCAACCGUUGCAACAAAGGAGUUCAGGUCAACACCAACAACGGACUGGAGAGGCAGAAUGGGAUAUUCAAAUAUUCCUUCUUGGAAAAGAAGAACUACACCAGUAUUUCUGGAAUGAUUUCUAUUCUCAUUUUGGAAUACCUGCCUAACAGCAUGUGCAGACUUUUGCAAUUCUCUUCUGAUACAUCUUCCUGACUACCAGCUGCAAUGCCUCCAACAACUCCAGAACUCCGCGGCCAGACUUGUAACGCUCACUAAAGGCACCACUCACAUCUCACCCAUCAUUCAGGCACUGCACUGGCUUCCUGUCCGCCAACGCAUCAUCUUCAAAGUCAUUCUUCUCGUCAAGCACUUCACUGCACUGCACCCUCAUACAUACAAGACCUAGUUCACCUCUACGAACCACCACGACGACUCCGCUCUGCUCACACCCAACUUCUUUGCAUCCCACGUUCACGGCACUCCUGGGGAAGGCGUUCAUUUUCAAGUUCUGGCCCUGAACUGUGGAACUCACUCCCUCCUCACCUCCAUAUAUCAGAGAAGAUCUGACAGCAAUCGACUCACUGGGAAGGACAUAUGAUGAUGCCAUCCCACCCUAUCUGCAGAAUCGUCCAUCCUAUUUCAUCCGUCAUUGCAUGAGGAAAAUUGAGAUGGCAGGGACGCUAACAAAGGAUGAUGUCAUAAGAAAAUCAGAGCACUGCUUCCAGGUGAAAAGUGAGACGACAUGGCCAAGAACUUCAUACAAUGUUCAUCUUCAGACUGAGAAUGGCAUUCCCAAGUGUGAAUGCUGGGACUGGCGUUGGACUCAUCUCCCUUGCAAACACAUGUUUGCCGUGUUGGAGCUACUUCCAGGGACAACUUGGUCUGCUCUACCCGAGAAGUUUCGCAACUCUCCACUCUACACCUUGGACACAGAAGUUUGCGGUUUUCUUGAGGUGCCUGCCGACUAAGGUAUAGACUUGGGAGACCAUCAGCCCGAUCAAUUAGACCAGCCAGCUGAUGACACUAUGUUGGAGGAACUUCCAAAACGAGGCCAUUUGCCCUCUGCGAAAAAGCAAUUGGCCCUUAACUUACUUGAGUUCAGAUGAUGUACUAAACAUGAUGGACGACAAGUUGGGCCUGCUCCUAAUAAUCGUGCAAAUGAAGCUCCGGAAUGAAAGUGGCUUAGUUGAGGACCGACCUAAGAACACAGCAUCAAAGAAAAGGAGCCAGCCAUCACCCUCGAAUCUUCCACUGAGGAAGAAAAAGAAGAUAGCCAGAGUAGGAGCUGCUGCAGAGAGACUCCAAACAAAUAAGGAGCUCAUAACCAAGGCUGUAGAAAACAAAUCCUCACAAGUCAAACAGAGACUGCGACAAGCAACCCUGAAGGAGUGUAAGACUAAACGGGUUAGAUUUGCUGAUGAAUGCACCAAGAAAGCAGCUGCAGAAUCAUACAGGCCACAAAGCACCACUCCCUCCAUGAUUGCUGGUGUUUCCAAUCAGCAACAACAGAAAUCACCCCUAUUUCCCAAUGGAUCAGUCCCUCCCAUCCUAAAGAAAAACAAGGACUCGCUAACCAGAGCACAGCCUCUCGGGGGUGUGCAACGUCUUGAUGUGAAGGACAUGAAAACCAAGCAAUCUCUUGGAGAGAAUGUUCCAGUUAUAAUGUCAGCAAGGCAGAAUAACCAGGGAGGUCCUCAUCUCAGUAACACCACAAUCAAGGACCAUCUCCCCAGCCGCCCUCCCUCUGCCCAAUCUCAGCAAUCUACCCAGAGGACACAGCCAUACCCCCAGCCACACCCCCAGGCACACCCCCAGCCACACCCCCAGUCACAACCCCAGUCACAACCCCAGCAGCAGCAUCUCAGACAAUCAACACCCCAUCCACCCCAGCAGAUGGUAGCGGGCAGGGAAGGGGACAGCAGGGUUAAGGAGAAGAAACGAGGCCUUGGCAGGUCUCUCAGUGUCAAACAUCCAUGAGAUUCAUGUGUGGCCUCUGAAGAACUAGCCUGGGUGAGAAGACAGCCACUCCCUUCUACUGGCAAGGAUGGUCGAUACAGUGUUUGUGGAGAGACUCUGGAAGUAUCAGACUUUCAGACUCUAAGGAGCCCAAAUUGGAUCAAUGACAGGAUCUUGAAUGCGUAUCUUAGCCCGAGAGAACAACAAACGGUCUGAUGACCACAUUUUUGUCAUGCCUAGUUAUGCAGCAGUGCACUUGCAAAGGGAGCAGUUCCAAUCAUGGCUCUUCAGGAAGGUCAACCUACUGAAGUACAGAUGGUUAUUCCUUCCAGUCAAUGUUAAUCAAUCACACUGGGUUCUUGUAGCUGCAGA
Molecule: RNA transcript, 2721 nt
Organism: Strongylocentrotus purpuratus (purple sea urchin)
Lineage: Eukaryota; Metazoa; Echinodermata; Echinoidea; Camarodonta; Strongylocentrotidae
Gene name: developmental regulatory protein wetA
Exons: 12
Source: RefSeq, a predicted model, not a curated record